AGAUAAGCCAUGCAUGUCUAAGUAUAAGCAACUAUACGGUGAAACUGCGAAUGGCUCAUUAAAUCAGUUAUCGUUUAUUUGAUAGUACCUUACUACAUGGAUAACCGUGGUAAUUCUAGAGCUAAUACAUGCUAAAAACCUCGACUUCGGAAGGGGUGUAUUUAUUAGAUAAAAAACCAAUGCCCUUCGGGGCUCCUUGGUGAAUCAUAAUAACUUAACGAAUCGCAUGGCCUUGCGCCGGCGAUGGUUCAUUCAAAUUUCUGCCCUAUCAACUUUCGAUGGUAGGAUAGUGGCCUACCAUGGUAUCAACGGGUAACGGGGAAUUAGGGUUCGACUCCGGAGAGGGAGCCUGAGAAACGGCUACCACAUCCAAGGAAGGCAGCAGGCGCGCAAAUUACCCAAUCCCGACACGGGGAGGUAGUGACAAUAAAUACUGAUACAGGGCUCUUUUGGGUCUUGUAAUUGGAAUGAGUACAAUUUAAAUCCCUUAACGAGGAACAAUUGGAGGGCAAGUCUGGUGCCAGCAGCCGCGGUAAUUCCAGCUCCAAUAGCGUAUAUUAAAGUUGUUGCAGUUAAAAAGCUCGUAGUUGAACCUUGGGCCUGGCUGGCCGGUCCGCCUCACCGCGUGUACUGGUCCGGCCGGGCCUUUCCUUCUGGGGAACCUCAUGCCCUUCACUGGGCGUGUUGGGGAACCAGGACUUUUACUUUGAAAAAAUUAGAGUGUUCAAAGCAGGCCUUUGCUCGAAUACAUUAGCAUGGAAUAAUAGAAUAGGACGUGUGGUUCUAUUUUGUUGGUUUCUAGGACCGCCGUAAUGAUUAAUAGGGAUAGUCGGGGGCAUCAGUAUUCAAUCGUCAGAGGUGAAAUUCUUGGAUUGAUUGAAGACUAACUACUGCGAAAGCAUUUGCCAAGGAUGUUUUCAUUAAUCAGUGAACGAAAGUUAGGGGAUCGAAGACGAUCAGAUACCGUCGUAGUCUUAACCAUAAACUAUGCCGACUAGGGAUCGGACGGUGUUAGUAUUUUGACCCGUUCGGCACCUUACGAGAAAUCAAAGUUUUUGGGUUCUGGGGGGAGUAUGGUCGCAAGCUGAACUAG
Molecule: ribosomal RNA, 1093 nt
Filed under: Cladosporium sp.
Lineage: Eukaryota; Fungi; Ascomycota; Dothideomycetes; Cladosporiales; Cladosporiaceae
Description: SSU rRNA
Rfam family: Eukaryotic small subunit ribosomal RNA
Source: RNAcentral